GGCGGUGUAGCUCAGCGGUUAGAGCAGUGGCUUCAUAAGCCAUGUGUCGCUGGUUCGAUUCCAGCCACCGCUACCA
Molecule: transfer RNA, 76 nt
Filed under: Planctomycetota bacterium
Lineage: Bacteria; Pseudomonadati; Planctomycetota
Description: Planctomycetes bacterium tRNA-Met
Rfam family: tRNA
About the family: Transfer RNA (tRNA) molecules are approximately 80 nucleotides in length. Their secondary structure includes four short double-helical elements and three loops (D, anti-codon, and T loops).
Source: RNAcentral